Molecule: ribosomal RNA, 1259 nt
Filed under: Salmonella enterica
Lineage: Bacteria; Pseudomonadati; Pseudomonadota; Gammaproteobacteria; Enterobacterales; Enterobacteriaceae
Description: partial 23S ribosomal RNA
Rfam family: Bacterial large subunit ribosomal RNA
Source: RNAcentral
GGGUUGUGAGGUUAAGCGACUAAGCGUACACGGUGGAUGCCCUGGCAGUCAGAGGCGAUGAAGGGCGUGCUAAUCUGCGAUAAGCGCCGGUAAGGUGAUAUGAACCGUUAUAACCGGCGAUACCCGAAUGGGGAAACCCAGUGUGAUUCGUCACACUAUCAUUAACUGAAUCCAUAGGUUAAUGAGGCGAACCGGGGGAACUGAAACAUCUAAGUACCCCGAGGAAAAGAAAUCAACCGAGAUUCCCCCAGUAGCGGCGAGCGAACGGGGAGGAGCCCAGAGCCUGAAUCAGCAUGUGUGUUAGUGGAAGCGUCUGGAAAGGCGCGCGAUACAGGGUGACAGCCCCGUACACAAAAGCGCAUGUGCUGUGAGCUCGAUGAGUAGGGCGGGACACGUGGUAUCCUGUCUGAAUAUGGGGGGACCAUCCUCCAAGGCUAAAUACUCCUGACUGACCGAUAGUGAACCAGUACCGUGAGGGAAAGGCGAAAAGAACCCCGGCGAGGGGAGUGAAAAAGAACCUGAAACCGUGUACGUACAAGCAGUGGGAGCCCCACCACCAAAGCAUUCUCUGGUGUUGAAGGCCCUGCAAAGCAGCAUCGCGGUGGCGGAGCGUCGUUUGCGACGCCCAACACACAAAACAAGCGGUGAGUGCUUUGGGGUGGGGUGACUGCGUACCUUUUGUAUAAUGGGUCAGCGACUUAUAUUCUGUAGCAAGGUUAACCGAAUAGGGGAGCCGGAGGGAAACCGAGUCUUAAUUGGGCGUUAAGUUGCAGGGUAUAGACCCGAAACCCGGUGAUCUAGCCAUGGGCAGGUUGAAGGUUGGGUAACACUAACUGGAGGACCGAACCGACUAAUGUUGAAAAAUUAGCGGAUGACCUGUGGCUGGGGGUGAAAGGCCAAUCAAACCGGGAGAUAGCUGGUUCUCCCCGAAAGCUAUUUAGGUAGCGCCUCGUGAAUUCAUCUCCGGGGGUAGAGCACUGUUUCGGCUAGGGGGCCAUCCCGGCUUACCAACCCGAUGCAAACUGCGAAUACCGGAGAAUGUUAUCACGGGAGACACACGGCGGGUGCUAACGUCCGUCGUGAAGAGGGAAACAACCCAGACCGCCAGCUAAGGUCCCAAAGUCAUGGUUAAGUGGGAAACGAUGUGGGAAGGCCCAGACAGCCAGGAUGUUGGCUUAGAAGCAGCCAUCAUUUAAAGAAAGCGUAAUAGCUCACUGGUCGAGUCGGCCUGCGCGGAAGAUGUAACGGGGCUAAACCAU